RNAcentral lists this ribosomal RNA (449 nucleotides) under uncultured bacterium. RNAcentral describes it as "partial 16S ribosomal RNA". It matches the Rfam family "Bacterial small subunit ribosomal RNA", at positions 329 to 794 of the family's 1533-position model. The record is from RNAcentral.
AACCAGACUCCUACGGGAGGCAGCAGUGGGGGAUAUUGCACAAUGGGGGGAACCCUGAUGCAGCGACGCCGCGUGGGUGAAGGAGUAUUUCGGUAUGUAAAGCCCUAUCGGCAGGGAAGAAGAAAGACGGUACCUGACUAAGGAGCCCCGGCUAACUACGUGCCAGCAGCCGCGGGAAUACGUAGGGGGCGAGCGUUAUCCGGAUUCACUGGGUGUAAAGGGAGCGUAGACGGCCAAGCAAGCCAGGGGUGAAAGCCCGGGGCCCAACCCCGGGACUGCCCUUGGAACUGCAUGGCUGGAGUGCGGGAGGGGCAGGCGGAAUUCCUGGUGUAGCGGUGAGAUGCGUAGAUAUCAGGAGGAACACCGGUGGCGAAGGCGGCCUGCUGGACUGCAACUGACGUUGAGGCCCGAAAGCGUGGGGAGCAAACAGGAUUAGAUACCCGCGUACU